AAAACCUCUCCAAGUCCACUAAAAUAAAACCUCAAACACUUUCUCCCCCCAUUCUUCACUCAAAUAAAACUUCUUUUUUAAUAAGUAGGCAAUAAAAAUAAAGCGUAGAAAUAAACUUAAGAAAACGGCUCCUAUAGAGUACUAUAGUCACCGCGGGUGCCUAACACCUUCCCGUAGUGAAAACGACCCCCGAACUUCGAAUCUAAGGGUUUUUUCUCAAUUUUGCCCUUCCCAAGAAAAAAU
RNAcentral lists this long non-coding RNA (243 nucleotides) under Medicago truncatula (barrel medic). RNAcentral describes it as "lncRNA gene37045". Lineage: Eukaryota; Viridiplantae; Streptophyta; Magnoliopsida; Fabales; Fabaceae. The record is from RNAcentral.